Molecule: transfer RNA, 41 nt
Filed under: Drosophila eurypeza
Lineage: Eukaryota; Metazoa; Arthropoda; Insecta; Diptera; Drosophilidae
Description: partial tRNA-Leu
Source: RNAcentral
UUUAAGCUCCAUAUAUAAAGUAUCUUACUUUUAUUAGAAAU